Molecule: ribosomal RNA, 440 nt
Filed under: uncultured bacterium
Lineage: Bacteria
Description: partial 16S ribosomal RNA
Rfam family: Bacterial small subunit ribosomal RNA
Source: RNAcentral
CCUACGGGAGGCAGCAGUGGGGAAUAUUGCACAAUGGGGGAAACCCUGAUGCAGCGACGCCGCGUGAGUGACGAAGUAUUUCGGUAUGUAAAGCUCUAUCAGCAGGGAAGAAAAUGACGGUACCUGACUAAGAAGCCCCGGCUAACUACGUGCCAGCAGCCGCGGUAAUACGUAGGGGGCAAGCGUUAUCCGGAUUUACUGGGUGUAAAGGGAGCGUAGACGGCAGCACAAGUCUGGAGGGAAAUGCCGGGGAUUAACCCCGGGACUGCUUUGGAAACUGUGUAGCUAGAGUGCAGGAGAGGUAAGUGGAAUUCCUGGGGUAGCGGUGAAAUGCGUAGAUAUUAGGAGGAACACCAGUGGCGAAGGCGGCUUACUGGACUGUAACUGACGUUGAGGCUCGAAAGCGUGGGGAGCAAACAGGAUUAGAUACCCCUGUAGUC